AGCAACUGAACACCUGGGACGGCCUGGAACAGUCAUGGCAGCACAUCUGUGGAAAAGGAGGAGCUUGGGCAUAGACUAUAAUGGGCAGCACAUCCUUCUGGGAAUGGGAGCAGCACAUUCAGCAGUCUGUCAACAUCAAGAGAUGCUGGUGGACUCACACUGGGCGUAAGGAGCAUGCCACAACUCCACUUUUCUUUUGGAAGAGGCUGUGCACUGGUUGGGUACAGCACAGGCAUUCUGAGAUCUGAAGCGUGGCGUCACUGCUAAGAAAAAGCAGCUUCAGCCUCAGGCAGGACUUCCAGACCUCGUCGUUCUCACAGCCACCCUUCCAGCUCACCAACAUCUUUUGAAAACCCGGAGAGCAGAACUAAUGAAGACACUCAUUAAUCUGCUCUUGUUUCAAGUUCAGUGACACCAGUCGGGUCUUAACCUGUUAAUUACUCGCUUGUGGCUUUUUCUCCAUCACCACCUCUGUUAACUUCCCAGUACUACACUGUGCAGUGACUUUAAAUUACUUUUCAUUUAAAUGACUUUUCAGCGCAAUUCAGACUUUUCCAUAUAAGGAACUUGAACAGCAUUUACAUUAACCUGCAUUACUUUCUUAGCAAACACUUUAUCUCCUCUCGGAACUAAAAUGAUCAACAAGUCAUGAUGUUCUGUGGCUCUCCCAGUGACACUUCUCCCAUGGGCGAUGCAGUGCUUCCAUAGCAGCCAUCCACAGCUUGGAUGGUCUCUUUCAAUAAAAGAAGGAAAUGCUUUGCUCAAAGCCAAAGCCGCAGACAGCUGGCAGCUGAGAAAGCACUCCAAGUAAGUCCAGCCACGAUUCCUGCAGGGCAGGAACACAGUACUGGGCUACGUGAGCCUCCCGUGGCCUCGUGCUGCCAUUCUCAUGUGUAGUAAUUAAAUGAUAACUCAUGAUCAUA
Phasianus colchicus (ring-necked pheasant) is the source of this 923-nucleotide long non-coding RNA. RefSeq lists it as uncharacterized. The record is from RefSeq and is a predicted model, not a curated record. Lineage: Eukaryota; Metazoa; Chordata; Aves; Galliformes; Phasianidae.